RNAcentral lists this ribosomal RNA (822 nucleotides) under Triticum aestivum (bread wheat). RNAcentral describes it as "partial small subunit ribosomal RNA". Lineage: Eukaryota; Viridiplantae; Streptophyta; Magnoliopsida; Poales; Poaceae. The record is from RNAcentral.
AUGAACCAAAUGCUUGAGCACCACACAAGCCUGGCCAGGCAGAAAUAUUUUACAUCUCACGUCCACAUCAGGCACUACCGGCCAUCAAGGCAUGAGGGUCAGUCUGACAGUGUGGACUUGGAACAAUGGCUUCGCGAGCAUCAGACACAUUUUGCCUUGUUGAAAGCACAUCUCCUUAAAGCUCAAGCUAAGAUCAAGUUGUAUGCUGAUCAACAUCGGUCUGCAUGUUCCUUUACAGUUGGAGAAUUUGUAUAUCUGAAACUGCAGCAUUAUGCUCAAACUUUUGUGGUCAAUCGUCCAUGUGCCAAGUUGGCAUACAAGUACUACAGACCAUUUGAAAUUGUGGAAUGUAUUGGUCCGGCAGCGUAUAAACUGCAGCUGCCCGCUGAAGCUCUCAUCCAUCGAGUUUUCCACAUUUCCCAGCUGAAGGCACACAUACGGGAUAACACAACAGUAUUCUCCCAUUUACCCAUUGCGGUGGACCUGUCUAAAGUGAAUGUUUGGCCAGAGAAGAUCCUUGGUCGCAAAAUGGUGAAAAAUAACAAUGCAGUUCAUGUGCAGGUGUUGAUACAGUGGUCAAGUUUACCUUCUGAAGCUGCUAUGUGGGAAGAUUUCGAAGUGCUGCAACAUAGGUAUCCCACAGGGCCAGCAUGGGGACAUGCUGGAUCUCAAGGGGGAGGCACUGUCAGCAGUGUGCCUCUGACGACCAAAGAUCAAGGGGAAGAUGAGGCAAACAAGAUGACGCCAGACAAGGGUAAACAAGGUGGAAGGACAAGGAGUGCGACGACGGCCCCAGCACAAAGGGAAAGCCCAAGUGAAUGA